Molecule: RNA transcript, 1904 nt
Organism: Tripterygium wilfordii
Lineage: Eukaryota; Viridiplantae; Streptophyta; Magnoliopsida; Celastrales; Celastraceae
Exons: 3
Source: RefSeq, a predicted model, not a curated record
AUUUGUUUUAGAGAAGAAGAAAACGGCGGGUCUGGAAAGGACUCUGAUAUCAGAAAGCAGUAAGGUGUGAUCUUUGCUACCAUUUCGAACCUUGUGAUUUCCUUCUCUUCUUGUUCCAUUGUACUCUCUGCAAUACAGGUCAGUCCAUCCUUUAUAAUUUUGUUUUCUCGACUAUGCUUGUCAAAUAUCGCAACUUUGUCCAGAAAACAAAAUCUGUAAGUAGAUAUUUUCAUGUUGAGUCGAAUGCGAGCGGUAAUUCUUCUUCAUCUGUAGAUAAAAAAGUUGCAAUUUUCUGGGAUUUGGACAACAAACCCCCAAAUUCAUUCCCUCCUUACGAUGCUGCCGUGAAGCUUAAAUUGGCAGCAACUUCUUUUGGGUAUGUUAGGUAUAUGGUAGCUUAUGCCAAUCGUCAUGCAUUCAGGCAUGUGCCUCAGGUUGUUAGAGAGGAGAGGAAGGAGAGGAAGCUGUUGAAUCAAUUGGAAAAUAAGGGUGUUCUUAAGCCUGUAGAACCAUAUUUUUGUCGUGUUUGUGGUAGGAGGUUUUAUAACAAUGACAAACUUGUUAAUCAUUUUAAACAAAUCCACGAGCGUGAGCAGAAGAAGAGAUUGAAUCAGAUUGACUCUGCCAAAGGGAAGAGGAGGGUGAAUUUGGUGGCAAAGUAUUCGAUGAAGAUGAACAAGUAUAAGAAUGCUUCCAGGGACGUUUUGACCCCGAAAGUUGGGUAUGGUUUGGCAGAUGAGUUGAAACGUGCUGGGUUUUGGGUUAGAACCGAAUCGGAUAAGCCACAGGCAGCUGAUGUUGCACUGAGGGAUCACAUGGUGGAGAUGAUGGAUAGAAGGAAAGUUGAGUGUUUGAUGCUUGUGUCUGACGAUUCUGAUUUUGUGAAUGUCUUGAAGGAGGCUAAGUUAAGAUGCUUGAAAACAGUUGUUGUGGGGGAUAUAAAUGAUGGGGCUCUUAAAAGAGUUGCUGAUGCUGGAUUUUCUUGGAGAGAGAUUCUAAUGGGAAAGGCUAAGAAGGAAGCAGUGUCAGUUCUUGGCCAAUGGAAGGACCGUGAUGUUUUGAAGAAACUGGAAUGGACAUACAAGCCGGAGGUGGAUAACAAAUUAUACUAUUCAGAUGAUGGGCUAGAUGUUGAAAGUGAGGAUGAGGGUGCCGAUGAUAUAAUUGAUGGGGUUGGUGCUGAUAGGAUGCAGAAUGAAGAUGCUGGUGCAUGGUGGGAGCUACACUAAGAUGCUGACGUCUUUGCUUCACAAUCUUGUUGAAGAUUUCAAGUAGCCAGUAAACCGGCUUUAAAUAUAUUCUAUGCCACCAGUGAAGCAAGCAGGAAAACUGAAGAAGGAAUCUCAUCAUAAUCUAGUGCAACUGUUUGCUUCUUGUAAAGCUGCCUGUGUAAGGCAAACCUUGCAGGCAUGCCCGAGAUGGCUUCGACAAUCACCCUCUGAAGGUAUUGGCUCGGUGGUUUAGGUAUAUUGGCUCUGUGGUACUUCUCCAAAACCUCUCAAGCUCAAGUGCUGAGAUGCAGACAUGCUCAAGGAUAUUUCGAUGUUCGACAGGCUUGAAGCGUUGAAAAAGUGAACACACACACACACUGAUUCUAGGGCUUCCUUCUCUUUUUCUAUUUCAGCUUUCUAGCUUCAGGAUGUAUGCCUAACUUGUCUCACUUUCAUGAAGUUCUUGCCGUAGAAUAUAUUUCGACAGGCUUGAAGCAUUGAAAACUGAACAAACAUACCCAGAAGUUCUUUUGGCUUUCUGGCACUAGGGUGUCUGCCCAACUUUGUUUCAUUUUUGUGAUUCAUUCAUGUAAAGUAUUUUUUGUAUGGUUAACCUCAACCUGUGGAAUGAGGAAUGAGAAGCUUAAUAUACCAUGAGCAGUAAUGUCAAUACGGACAAUAAAUUUUCCUCCA